Molecule: ribosomal RNA, 288 nt
Filed under: uncultured bacterium
Lineage: Bacteria
Description: partial 16S ribosomal RNA
Rfam family: Bacterial small subunit ribosomal RNA
Source: RNAcentral
AACGAACGCUGGCGGCAGGCUUAACACAUGCAAGUCGAACGAGAAGGUUCUUUCGGGAAUUGGACAGUGGCGCACGGGUGAGUAACGCGUGGGAAUCUACCAUGGAGUGGGGGAUAACAUUUGGAAACGAAUGCUAAUACCGCAUACGCCCUACGGGGGAAAGAUUUAUUGCUCUAUGAUGAGCCCGCGUAAGAUUAGAUAGUUGGUGAGGUAAUGGCUCACCAAGUCAGCGAUCUUUAGCUGGUCUGAGAGGAUGAUCAGCCACACUGGGACUGAGACACGGCCCAG